UGUUAUGUUAGUCAUCAUACAGUAUGUCCUUUGUUUUUGAUGUAAUGGACCGUUCUUCGGUCAAGGGUAUACAAGUAGCUGCGCUCCCCUGCUAGAACCUCCAAACAAGCUCUCAAGGUCCCUGGUAAUGUUUUUUCAUCCUUCUGGAGCUCCUAUUGUUUGGAUAUUGGACCUCUUA
This 178-nucleotide small nuclear RNA is filed under the name Ailuropoda melanoleuca (giant panda). RNAcentral's name for it is "7SK RNA". The stretch from base 50 to 178 matches the Rfam family "7SK RNA", at positions 173 to 331 of the family's 331-position model. From Rfam's summary of the family: 7SK was discovered as an abundant small nuclear RNA in the mid-70s but a possible function has only recently been suggested. The record is from Rfam by way of RNAcentral. Lineage: Eukaryota; Metazoa; Chordata; Mammalia; Carnivora; Ursidae.